Molecule: unclassified non-coding RNA, 250 nt
Filed under: plant metagenome
Description: partial contains small subunit ribosomal RNA, internal transcribed spacer 1, and 5.8S ribosomal RNA
Source: RNAcentral
GUAGGUGAACCUGCGGAGGGAUCAUUAACACUAUUUGGCUGGUGUCACUGAGUAUUUCGCAAGAGAGAAAACGUGAUGUUAGUUCAGAUUUUAACACACCGUUGAAUGCGCUGGGCAAGCUGUAGGCUGUUGGAGUGACGCAGUGAGCUGUUCUUGUACUUGGCUACUUUUGGGGGUACAGGUCUGGCGACUCUAACAGUUUUUUCGUUUGUUCAGCUAAACUUUUUGGUGACGUUUACACUCAGAGCGU